Molecule: ribosomal RNA, 387 nt
Filed under: uncultured bacterium
Lineage: Bacteria
Description: bacterial SSU rRNA
Rfam family: Bacterial small subunit ribosomal RNA
Source: RNAcentral
GACGAACGCUGGCGGCGUGCUUAACACAUGCAAGUCGAGCGGUAAGGCCCUUUCGGGGGUACACGAGCGGCGAACGGGUGAGUAACACGUGGGUGACCUGCCCUCAGCUCUGGGAUAAGCCUGGGAAACUGGGUCUAAUACUGGAUAUGACUCCACGGUGCAUGUCGUGGGGUGGAAAGCCUUGUGCGGCUGAGGAUGGGCCCGCGGCCUAUCAGCUUGUUGGUGGGGUGAGGCCUACCAAGGCGACGACGGGUAGCCGGCCUGAGAGGGCGACCGGCCACACUGGGACUGAGAUACGGCCCAGACUCCUACGGGAGGCAGCAGUGGGGAAUCUUGCGCAAUGGGCGAAAGCCUGACGCAGCGACGCCGCGUGAGGGAUGACGGCCU